RNAcentral lists this ribosomal RNA (734 nucleotides) under Circinella simplex. RNAcentral's name for it is "eukaryotic LSU rRNA". It matches the Rfam family "Eukaryotic large subunit ribosomal RNA", at positions 35 to 664 of the family's 3401-position model. Lineage: Eukaryota; Fungi; Mucoromycota; Mucoromycetes; Mucorales; Lichtheimiaceae. The record is from RNAcentral.
UGCCAUUCCCACAAAGCGGAGGAAAAGAAAAUAACAAUGAUUUCCCUAGUAACGGCGAGUGAAGAGGAAAAAGCUCAAAGUUGGAACCUAUUUGGCUUAGCUAAAUCGGAUUGUAAACUGUAGAAGUGUUUUCCUGACACGCCAGAUAAAUAAGUCCUUUGGAACAGGGCAUCAUAGAGGGUGAGAAUCCCGUCUUUGGUCUGAGCAGUUGUCUUUUGUGAUACAUUUUCAAAGAGUCAGGUUGUUUGGGAAUGCAGCCUAAAUUGGGUGGUAAAUCUCACCUAAAGCUAAAUAUUUGCGAGAGACCGAUAGCGAACAAGUACCGUGAGGGAAAGAUGAAAAGAACUUUGAAAAGAGAGUUAAACAGUAUGUGAAAUUGUUAAAAGGGAACCGUUUGGAGCCAGACUGGCUUGACUGUAAUCAAUCUAGAUCCUUCUGGAUGCACUUGCAGUUUAUGCCUGCCAAUGACAAUUUGUUUUGAGGGAAAAAACUGGGAAGAAUGUGGCCCCUUUUGGGGUGUUAUAGCUUCUUAGAAAAUACCUUGGAGCGGAUUGAGGAUCGCAGUGAAUGUCUUUUAGGCAAGAUUGCUGGGUGCUUUUGCUGAUAAAUGCUAGAAUUUCUGCUUUUAGGUGGUGCUAGUGUUUAAAGGCAAAACUCGCUUAGUAUAUUUUUUAUUCGCUUAGGUUGUUGGCUUAAUGACUCUAAAUGACCCGUCUGACACACGGGAGCACACA